UUUUCUUGUUAGUUUUUGAAGUAUGGCCUGCCCGCUGAUUGAAGGGCCGCGGUAUUUUGACCGUGCAAAGGUAGCAUAAUCAUUAGUUCUUUAAUUGUGAUCUGGUAUGAAUGGCUUGACGAGGCAUGAGCUGUCUUUUUGAGUUUGGUUUCUGAGUUAAAAUUCUUAGAUGUUUUUAUGGGACGAGAAGACCCUAUAGAGUUUGACAUUUUUUUUGUUUGUUUUUAAUAUUUUAUUUGUUUUGUUGGGGUGAUGGGAGGAAUUUUCUUAACUCUUCUUUUUGUUACAUUGUGUGUUUUAUUUUGAUCCAUUUAUUUUGAUUAUAAGAUUAAAUUACCUUAGGGAUAACAGCGUUAUCCUCCCUGAGAGUUCUUAUUGGCGGGGGGGUUUGCGACCUCGAUGUUGGAUUAAGGUUGAUUUUUGGUGUAGGAGCUGAAUUGAUUAGGUCUGUUCGACCUUUAAAACCUU
RNAcentral lists this ribosomal RNA (468 nucleotides) under Ancistrotermes latinotus. RNAcentral's name for it is "partial 16S ribosomal RNA". It matches the Rfam family "Bacterial large subunit ribosomal RNA", at positions 1832 to 2597 of the family's 2925-position model. The record is from RNAcentral. Lineage: Eukaryota; Metazoa; Arthropoda; Insecta; Blattodea; Termitidae.